GUCUUUUGCUUAAUAGACUCCACACUACACGCCGUUUUUGUGCUUUAAAGACUCCACUACACGCCGUUUCAUAAGCAGACAAAAUCCCGUGUAGGGAGAGAGUCCAAUCGAUCAAACUUGUCACUAAUCUUUCUCCGACAAACCCUGCCUGAGACUCCGAGGAAUAAGACGACUUUGCCAUCCACUGAAAGCAUAACUCCUCUCGAUAAAAGAUCGAUUCGGUUCACCGGUCUCGUCUCUCACCGAAAAGCUUCUGACAACCUUCCAACUUGAGGAAGACGAGUCGUCGCUGGAGAAUAUACUAGACGAAUGGAGGAGCUGGAUUUUUUCAAGUCCCCCGACGAGUUUCCACCAAGACGUGGUGGCUAUGGCCUGGUACAUGUAGAUUGUGUUGGAAAGCGUGGAUACACUAACAGUGCCUUGGUGAAUCUUUAUGCCAAGCUCGGCCUUCAUCGCUACAACUGGUUAGAGGGGACAAACUUUGAGCUAGAUAGCAUAAUGAAAUUCAACAUGCGUGGUGCUGCAUCUCCUUACUACAUAACCUUGGUUGCGUGCCUUCCAUCCAGCGGUUUGCAGCAGAUCUUUCAGGUUCUCGUAGAGGAAGAACGUCUUGGCAUUUUAGAUUUGACAUGCCCCAUCUCUAGACCUCAAGGGACCGAGAGUUCAAAGAAGGAGUCAACUCCUUUCUUACGUCCACAUUCCGAGCCAGUGUCUGCUACCCACCAAGACAGAUUGCUUGGCUGGACCAAGUCAGUAAUUCCAUGGCCCUCCUCCGAGAUUGGUUUCAGUGACACAAAGCGUUUUUACAUGUUGAAUGAAUCUGAGUUGCAAUGUGAUUGGAUUUCUUUGUAUGUGGAACUUGCAAUCUGUACUUCCCAUAGGUGGUUUAAAGCUAGGGAUCUCUCUAACUUUGAGUUGGAGAUUGUCCAAGUGGCCAUAGAAUCUCUUCAUGAUAAGGAGCCACCAAGUCUCAAGUCUAAAGCUGCGGUCAUCUACAUAGCAUACAAGGAUUUGGCCAAGGCUAGGACUGGUGAGCCUUAUCACUACCAAGUUGUGGUGAGACGAGUCAUCAACGAAGCUACAGGAACAUUGAGCAUCCAAGGUGAUUGCUGGAUUGCAGCAGCAGCAACGGCUUCGGGCCUCCGCUCUUCCCCCACGAGUUGAUUACCAAACUCUAUUUAAGACAUUUGAAGAUGCCUAUCGGAUAGUAGUAAUUAGUGAUGCUUAUGUGUUGUGUGCUUUUGGUCUCUAUUUAAGACAUCGGAUGACUAUGUACUUUGUGCUUUUGGUCUCUCUGUUUUAAGACAUUUGAAGAUAUUUGUCUUUUGGGGACAAAGAUGAUGUGAAUGUGGGAGUAUUAUACCAUUCUUACUAGAGCCAGAGACAGAUUCGGAACCGCUUGCUCUUCUUGGAGUUGCGUUAACAAUGCUAGAUGAACUUUUACCAAGAUCACUUGUUAAAAGACUGGAACCUCAAGAUUGAAAACGGUGGAGGAUGGUGGUGAUAGUAGUAAUCACUAGCUCUGCAUCGGAGCUGAAAGAGUGGAAACGCCACAUGGUUCAUUCACGGUUAGAUGCACCAGAUGACUUGCAUCUUCCCUUAUUACCGCUUCAGGCACUGUUUUCAAAGCUACAACAGUUGGCCACCAUUGCUGGCUGACAGAGAGUGAUAAUCUGGCUGUCAAACGAGGAGGAGUUUUGGAGUGCGUUUGAGGACGAGUCAGCCAUCUGGUUUGCAACCGUGGAGAUAGCCAGGUUCGCGGGUAUCCAUUUAAAGUGGUACAGAACCAUGCAUCAGUGGUGAUCAAUAGAGCCAUCAACAUAUUCUCCUCAAGAGGCAUCAACCCACAAAGCUCGCUCCCGAAGGCGGAGUGGUUCACGGAAGCAGCCAAGUCAGCUAUCAACUGUUGUGAAUGAGCCUUCUUUACCUCCUCCUAAUACAGACCCAAGUCCAGAAAGCCUUGGCGCUGCUGCUUCACGUCCUCUUCGGCAGGGUAACGGUUCUGGUGGUCCCUAUUUAUAACCAGCAGCAAAGGAGUAAUGUUGCUGGUCCGCCUCCACCUAAUCGACAAAACGGAAAUAAUGCUCCGGGGAAUUUUGCAUAACUGAAAGUAUGUUCAUGUUCUUCAAAUGCUUUAGUGUCCUCAUUUGGAGAAGGCCAUUCACUCACUUCACCUUACUUUAGAACUGAGUGAAGUUAUUUGGCAGUGGUGGUGUUUAGAGUUGCGUGGGUUUUCAAGAGAGGGACUGUACAAGAGAAGACUUUCUGGCUUGUUUGAUAGUGGGUGUGCUGAUUGGGUUGUGGUUAAGAGCAAGAGAACUGGAUCUUCUUGAUAAAGAUGUUAGAAAAAAGAGGAGAAAUGAAUGACCGAUUUUACAUGAAGUUAUGAAUCUUCAUUGGCUGAAGGAAAGAGACAAUGUAUUGGUACAUAUGAAGAGUCAUCUGCUACUAGGUUGGGUACAACGAAAGCUUUGAAGACUUGGCUACAGUCAAUGGAGUUGGACCAUCGGUUUUGAAAGGAUAACCUUGUGGGCAAGAGAAAAAUACAAUGGACAACUUGGGGUGGAAAGAGUUUAGUGGAAAGGAUGGGGUUUUGACAAAAACACUCAAGGCACGCAUUGGUAUGGAACAUACACCAAGAGAGUUUCUGUGCAGCUCCUCACUUGCAUUGAAGAUGCAUAGUAGUGUCGAUGCUACCAACGAGGGAGAUAGUGUUGUAUAUGAGGAAGAGAAAGUGCAGCCUGAGUCCAGGAGUAACUUCACUUUUAAAGAAAGAUUUACAGCUGAAAGUAACGUCAAGAGAAGAUCUAACUAGAGGGUUAGAAAAGACGAGUAGAUUACUUCUUAAGGAGGAGCAGUUAACACUGCAACCAAUUAAUAGUUUGUAGUUUAAAUCAAGAACGUUCAUGUAACCCGUUUCAAAAUGGCAUAAAAUUUAUAACUGCUA
Molecule: RNA transcript, 2947 nt
Organism: Brassica napus (rape)
Lineage: Eukaryota; Viridiplantae; Streptophyta; Magnoliopsida; Brassicales; Brassicaceae
Gene name: UPF0725 protein EMB2204-like
Exons: 12
Source: RefSeq, a predicted model, not a curated record